This 372-nucleotide ribosomal RNA is filed under the name uncultured bacterium. RNAcentral's name for it is "bacterial SSU rRNA". It matches the Rfam family "Bacterial small subunit ribosomal RNA", at positions 524 to 898 of the family's 1533-position model. The record is from RNAcentral.
CACGUAGGGGGCGAGCGUUGUUCGGAAUUACUGGGCGUAAAGGGCAUGUAGGCGGUUUUGUAAGCCUGACGUGAAAGGCUAUGGCUCAACCAUGGCACUGCGGUGGGAACUGCGAGACUUGAAUCAUGGAGAGGGAGCUGGAAUUCCAGGUGUAGGGGUGAAAUCUGUAGAUAUCUGGAAGAACACCAGUGGCGAAGGCGAGUUCCUGGCCGAUGAUUGACGCUGAGGUGCGAAAGUGUGGGGAUCAAACAGGAUUAGAGACCCUGGUAGUCCACACUGUCAACGAUGUUCACUAGGUGCUGGGGCGGAUGUUUCAGUGCCGGAGCUAACGCGGUAAGUGCACCGCCUGGGGAGUAUGCUCGCAAGGGUGAA